Molecule: signal recognition particle RNA, 97 nt
Filed under: Escherichia coli
Lineage: Bacteria; Pseudomonadati; Pseudomonadota; Gammaproteobacteria; Enterobacterales; Enterobacteriaceae
Description: signal recognition particle sRNA small type
Rfam family: Bacterial small signal recognition particle RNA
About the family: The signal recognition particle (SRP) is a universally conserved ribonucleoprotein involved in the co-translational targeting of proteins to membranes. Archaeal SRP consists of a 7S RNA and homologues of the eukaryotic SRP19 and SRP54 proteins. In most bacteria, the SRP consists of a 4.5S RNA and the Ffh protein (a homologue of the eukaryotic SRP54 protein).
Source: RNAcentral
UGUUGGUUCUGCCGCAACGCUACUCUGUUUACCAGGUCAGGUCCGGAAGGAAGCAGCCAAGGCAGAUGACGCGUGUGCCGGGAUGUAGCUGGCAGGG